Long non-coding RNA from Colias croceus (clouded yellow), 528 nucleotides. RefSeq lists it as uncharacterized. The transcript has 4 exons. The record is from RefSeq and is a predicted model, not a curated record. Lineage: Eukaryota; Metazoa; Arthropoda; Insecta; Lepidoptera; Pieridae.
GUGUUGUCACAGGACUGGGCCAGGGUACCUGUGAAUGUGGCCUGCAUCCGGGAGGCAGGCUGGGCCCUGCCCCCGGGCGCAGGCCCGCGCACCGGUGCGGCGGCCGCCGGCGUGUGCCGCACGCCGCCCGGCCGCGCCGCUGGCCCGCGCCGCUGUCGCCGCUCCACGCGAGCCGCGAACAGAUAUAGCGCUUUUUAAAAUCUUAUCCAUAUCGGAAACGCUGAAUAAAAGCAGUAUUUUAAAAUAAUGUUGUUAUAUUGUUCCUACGUGUAAGUGUAACCAAUGUGUGCAAAACGAUAGACUAUAUAUAUCACUUUUUCGUUACAAUAAAAUUAAGUUGUGGGAGUUUAGUUUUUGCGAUAAUAAGUUAAGAUUUAAGUUAGGUUAAGCGACAACAUAGGGCGACCAUUGCAAGUCAUGUGUACCUACAGAGUGUUUUCUAUAUAAAGGAUAAAGAGCGUUGUGCCUUUCGAAGUUCCAGUUUGUUUAUAGAUAGUUUUUCAUUAGAUAUAUUAUAUUUUUGCAUUA